CCGAGCGAGGGCCUCCGGGCCCGACCUCCAACCCUUUGUGAACACACCCGUUGCUUCGGGGGCGACCCUGCCGUUUCGACGGCGAGCGCCCCCGGAGGUCUUCCAACACUGCAUCUUUGCGUCGGGGUUUAAGGAAAUGAGACA
RNAcentral lists this unclassified non-coding RNA (144 nucleotides) under soil metagenome. RNAcentral's name for it is "partial internal transcribed spacer 1". The record is from RNAcentral.